AAUUAGCAAACACCUGCUGUAACUGUGCAUGUGCUGAGCUCGUUAUAGGAGCUACUUAGUGCAAAGCUGGUAAAAUGUUGUUAUAUGGCUAAUUGAGGAGUGACGUGAUGACUUCCUGAAGGACAAAAGCCCUCCGACUCUACAGUGCAUGCUUACAGACACGUCGAUGUGCAGAGACGCAAAAUGACAAAACCCCAGGAAGACAAAAAGAGAAGUCUGUGUGGACUCACUGUGGUUUAAUGCUAAAAAAGCAAACCCGCCAAAACCUGUGGUCACCGACCGCACUAAUGCGCUUUGGUGCAAAUCAUCUCAGCACAUCAGCAGCAGAGUAACAGAACAGAAUUCAGCGAGAACUCAGCUAUGAGUUCAAUCGUCUGUUUUAACACAUCGUCACAUCAGCUCUUCACAGCCUUUGCAGCAGUGUCAGAGAGAGGAGGGCAGAAAGAGGAACGCAAAGCAGAGAGUGCAGCCGCUUUGUGAUCAGCCGAUUCUCCCCCGUGACACAGCAGCCGGUGAGGAGGCGACUCCGGCUCCAUGGCCUCUCUGAUAACCCAACUCGAGGCGUGGACCAUCAUGUUCUCCAUCCUGGUUUUUGCGCUCUUCACACUCGCUGGGAUGAUCAGCGAGGACUGUCCGCAAACUAAAGAAAAUACUGAGAGAACCAAGAGCCAGGAGAUGUUGGUGUGACUCAGCAGCUAAUGCUCAGCUUGUGAGAAAAGCUCAGCUUGUUCCUGUCUCAGUGUAACCUGCUUCCAGGAUGAGGCACAAAGGAGUGGCCAAAUUGUUCAACUAAAAAAAGCAAGAAAGAGACACGUGCUCAAACUAAGUGGCUCACAACAGCAUCGCCUCGCCGCUCGUCCUGUAGGAUGUCCAGAGACAGCACCAGCAGAUUCCUCUGUGAACUUUGAACCUGGAGAACAGCCUGUGUGUAUCUCCCAUCGGCAGCUGUGUAGAUGGAAGUGCCAUUCUCUGGCUUUGAGCUCACCUUCAUCAUCUUAGCCUUCGUCAUCUUCUCCCUGUUCAGUCUGGCUUCAGUCUGCAUCCAGAAAGAGGAAGACCCAACAGAAGAUGCUGCAUAUGAAAACAAGAAGUUAAAACAACUAGUGAAGAAGAAGCAGAGAGAGAUCACCAAACAGGCUGGACAGAAGGCUUAAAGCUGGGAUCAGAGCUGAACUGGGACUGGAGAUCAACUUCCUGCUUCUCUGUGUUUUAUGUAGAAGUUAGCAAUUUGUCUUUGCCCAAUGAACUAUAAACUCCCCUCAUUAAAGGGGCAGUGUUAUAUAAGAUGGACUUUUUUGAGAUUUGCAUCAUGUUAUUUUCUAAUCAAAAACAUAACGUGUUGCCUUGAUUCACUCAUGAAUGUUUGAGAAAUCCUUUAAUCUCCCGUGGCAACCGUUGAGCUGGGUAAAAUGUCUGUGUGGACCUAGCAAUGCUUCCUUGGAGUUGCAGUUUCCAAGUUUCUACCUCACCCACUCAGCUCCUUCAGACUAGUGGCCCAAUGGACAAUGCAAGGCUAAAGGAAUACAAAUGACCUCAACACAGAAGAACAGUUCUUUAUGGAGCCUAAUUAAAGUGAACAACAACCAAUAAAGACAGCAGAUGGAAAAAAA
This is a non-coding RNA of Poecilia reticulata (guppy), 1610 nucleotides long. The record is from RefSeq and is a predicted model, not a curated record. Lineage: Eukaryota; Metazoa; Chordata; Actinopteri; Cyprinodontiformes; Poeciliidae.